UUAAAUUGAAGAGUUUGAUCAUGGCUCAGAUUGAACGCUGGCGGCAGGCCUAACACAUGCAAGUCGAACGGUAACAGGAAGCAGCUUGCUGUUUCGCUGACGAGUGGCGGACGGGUGAGUAA
This 122-nucleotide ribosomal RNA is filed under the name Escherichia coli. RNAcentral describes it as "partial 16S ribosomal RNA". It matches the Rfam family "Bacterial small subunit ribosomal RNA", at positions 1 to 113 of the family's 1533-position model. Lineage: Bacteria; Pseudomonadati; Pseudomonadota; Gammaproteobacteria; Enterobacterales; Enterobacteriaceae. The record is from RNAcentral. RNAcentral also lists the same sequence under 1 other name.